This 491-nucleotide ribosomal RNA is filed under the name uncultured bacterium. RNAcentral describes it as "partial 16S ribosomal RNA". It matches the Rfam family "Bacterial small subunit ribosomal RNA", at positions 29 to 507 of the family's 1533-position model. The record is from RNAcentral.
AGUGAACGCUGGCGGUAGGCCUAACACAUGCAAGUCGAGCGGCAGCACAGUAAGAGCUUGCUCUUACGGGUGGCGAGUGGCGGACGGGUGAGGAAUACAUCGGAAUCUACUUUUUCGUGGGGGAUAACGUAGGGAAACUUACGCUAAUACCGCAUACGACCUACGGGUGAAAGCAGGGGAUCUUCGGACCUUGCGCGAUUGAAUGAGCCGAUGUCGGAUUAGCUAGUUGGCGGGGUAAAGGCCCACCAAGGCGACGAUCCGUAGCUGGUCUGAGAGGAUGAUCAGCCACACUGGAACUGAGACACGGUCCAGACUCCUACGGGAGGCAGCAGUGGGGAAUAUUGGACAAUGGGCGCAAGCCUGAUCCAGCCAUACCGCGUGGGUGAAGAAGGCCUUCGGGUUGUAAGCCCUUUUGUUGGGAAAGAAAAGCAGCAGGUUAAUACCCCGCUGUUCUGACGGUACCCAAAGAAUAAGCACCGGCUAACUUCGUG